GACAGCCAAACAGGUCUGUAGAUAUCUGGAUCACUUUUGCUUUGUUUAGGAGCAUUUUUACUUUCUUUAGCACUGGCACAGGUUGCCAGUGGAUGCCCCAUCCCUAGAGGUGUUCAAGGCCAGCUUGCUUUGGGCAACCUGGUUUGGUGGGAGGUGUCCCUGCCCAUGGCAGGAAUUUGGAAUUAAAUGACCUUUUAGGUCCCUUCCAACCCAAACCAUUCUGUGAUUCUAUGACCCCUCAUUCUUUUUAUUUACUAUUUCUUCAAAGCAAGUCAGCUACAGCAAUUCUUGACCAACUGUCAGUCCACUAGCUGUUUACAGUUUAGGUUUAAUCACUUUUACCUAAUUCAUCUCUGCCCCUUCUUUUUACCCAGAAUGUCCUGCAACUAUUUUCAAACAUAAAAUACUUCCAAACACCCUCAGCUGCAAAGUCUACAUCUUCACAUCAACACACAACUCUCAAAUAGUGUGCAAAUUACUACCAAAUCAAGCAAAACCCACAUGGAUAAAUGAGUUUACCCUCUAGAAAACAUAAUUACCUCUUCAGCAGAAACUGGUUUCAUCUAAACAUCCUUAUUUACUGCUUUCUAUUCCUUUGUCACCUCAGUAACCACCAGCUGUUCAGCUUUUAAAGCUUUUCCCUCAGCUGGCUCUGCCCCAUUUACCCUCUGCAGUUAGCUCUGAGCUAUAAUCAAAAGUAGGAAGUCUUAUAAUGUCAGCUGCAAGGUUAUUAGUUUAUUCAUAACACAGCUCCCAGACGGGAACUAAAUUGCAAUGAAACCCACCAUCAUGCAACAAAUGAGCAAAUUCUCUUCACCCAGAGAAACCAGGAUGGCUAUUUCCUCAUUGGGAACAAGCCUCAGGCUCCCAGGCUCACUCACAGCUUGUCUGCUGCAUGCACUGACCCAGCGCAGGAAGCAGAAGGAGGCAACAAUCAGGCAGGUAUCUCUGAAAAGGAGCUAUGUAAACUUCAAACUUGUAUGCAUGAACUCCAUAUGGCUAGAGCUACCAGCUGCGUGCAGAUACGAAACCACCUCAGCACACCCGACAGAAGAGCCCUGUGUCAGACACAUCCGACGAGUCUGCCCUCGAGCAGCCCCCAAGGGAGCCACAAGCUGGUGGUCAGGCAGUUGCGUGGAGAGAAGGGCGGCUCAGCGCAUGCUAUCUUCAGCCACUUCAGAGACCAGUCUUUCCACAAAAUAAAAAAGAAUAUAGAUAUUUUAUAGAUUAAUAUAGAUCUUUAUGUUGAUAUGGGUAGAAAUACAGAUAUACAAUUCUAUAAUUAUAGAACUUCACUUCGAAGCUCUGUAUCUCAAUUCCUGCUACGUUCUUCCCAAAGUACUCAGAAAAUUCUUCCAAGUCUCGUAACUCCUGUGAUUUAUAGCUGUAUGUUUGCCCAUUCUCUCUUUAAGCAUCUGAACUCCAGACACAUGACUAAUGAAUUCUUUUCUAAUCUGUGUGCUAUAUUAGUUUGAAUAAUUAGUUAAACUGCUUAAGUAAUGCCAUUUUUGAAGUCUCAUAGCAUUACCAAAUAGAAAUUAAUGUUCUUUUUAACAAGAAAAGACAUUCAUUAGAACACUCGUAUGACACAUUCUCCUUUGCAAUUUGGGCAUUUUAACCUCUUCUAUACAGUGUGAUUCACUUUUUAACUUUUAGAUUUAAAAAGUUACAAGAUUUGUGUUCUAAACUGUAUUUUUCCAUUUUUCAUUUUAAAGUCAGUAAUGCUGUCUUUUACUAAAAUUAUAAUCAUAAUGUCUUUCAGUAGAUAGCAAACUUUGGCCUCAGAACAGUUUAUUAGAAAACUGCGAUUGAUAUCAAACUACCUGAAUUUAAAGAAUAUGCAAACUGAAUUGCUAGAUGUUAGGUCUCACAUACAGACUAAUCCAUCAAAACAUUCCUGAGGUGUCUAUAGCAAGCCAAGAGUUCAGAAUUUAUUGAAAGAAUCAUUUAAAAGUAUCACACUGCUUAUAUAAAAUGGAAGUUCAGUAAAAAGAUAGAGGAUGAAAAGAUGAAGGAUCUUCCAUCCUGCAUCUUGCACACAAUGUAAAACUAAUAUUUUCUUCCCAGUGUCCAAUAUGAUUACUGAUCCAAAGAUGCGUAUUUUCAAAAUUAACUUUUAUCAAACCAAUUAAAGACACCAUAAUAGAAAAUUUAAUGGUUUGCCCUCCCUCAAAAAACAUAACUUUUUUAGCUGUAAUAAAUAUAAAUUACAUAAUUUAUGACUUAAAAAG
Molecule: long non-coding RNA, 2231 nt
Filed under: Anser brachyrhynchus (Pink-footed goose)
Lineage: Eukaryota; Metazoa; Chordata; Aves; Anseriformes; Anatidae
Description: lncRNA (ENSABRG00000000134.1)
Source: RNAcentral